GUAGUAGUAGUAGUAACCCAAACAAACACCACCGGGUUUGUGGGAAUUAACUCGCAGCCGCAAAAUAGAUCGCAUCAUCGCAGAGGUCCACCAAUUCCUUCCCUUUAAUUGUUCCCGUCGUGGCUGUGGUUCGCUCGUCGUGCUGUUCGCCUCCAGUACGCGGCACAAGCACCUGAGCAACACCUUCAAUCACGGGAAGGCUUUACAACUAACGAAUAGGGCGGAUAUGGCGGGAAAGACAGACACGUACAAGUGCUACCAUUGUCCUUUUCAGUCCGAAGACUACGAUUGUAUGCUUCAACACCUUCAGAUGUGCACUGCUGGUGCUGAUGUUGCUGAUGACGAUGAUGAUGUUGCUGAUGAUGAUGGUGUUGCUGGAGUAUCUGCUGAGCAGCGUGGUGUUACCAUGCAGGAGCAGGAAAAAUGUUGGUCACAUGAAGCAAUAUUGCUGUUGAUAGAAACCUGCAAGCUCCACCAGCGAGGAUUCUCAGAUAACUCCAAAAGAAAAUAUCAAGUUUGGCGGGAUAUCGCUAAAGAGCUACAAGCGAAAGGAUAUGCUGUGGAUGGGGCAGCAUGUGACCAGAAAAUGAGGGGAUUGAAAAGAAGGUACAGGAUUAUCAAGGACAAGGCCAGCCAGAGUGGGAGGUUUGCUCUGACCCAGUGGCUAUAUUACGGUGCC
Eriocheir sinensis (Chinese mitten crab) is the source of this 679-nucleotide long non-coding RNA. RefSeq lists it as uncharacterized. Lineage: Eukaryota; Metazoa; Arthropoda; Malacostraca; Decapoda; Varunidae. The transcript is spliced from 4 exons. The record is from RefSeq and is a predicted model, not a curated record.